UCAGGUAUAGCUCAGUGGUAGAGCACUUGCCUAGCAUGCACAAGGCCCUGGGUUCAAUUCCCAGCACUGCAA
RNAcentral lists this transfer RNA (72 nucleotides) under Fukomys damarensis (Damara mole-rat). It matches the Rfam family "tRNA". From Rfam's summary of the family: Transfer RNA (tRNA) molecules are approximately 80 nucleotides in length. Their secondary structure includes four short double-helical elements and three loops (D, anti-codon, and T loops). Lineage: Eukaryota; Metazoa; Chordata; Mammalia; Rodentia; Bathyergidae. The record is from Rfam by way of RNAcentral.